AUACGAAAGGUGCAAGCGUUGUUCGGAUUUACUGGGCGUAAAGAGAGUGUAGGUGGUUUAUUAAGUCGGAUGUGAAAUCCCGGGGCUCAACCUCGGAACUGCAUUCGAUACUGAUAGGCUAGAGUUUGGGAGGGGUAAGCGGAAUUCCGUGUGUAGCAGUGAAAUGCGUAGAUAUACGGAGGAACACCUGAGGCGAAGGCGGCUUACUGGACCAAUACUGACACUGAGACUCGAAAGCGUGGGUAGCAAACAGGAUUAGAUACCCGGGUAGUCC
Molecule: ribosomal RNA, 274 nt
Filed under: uncultured bacterium
Lineage: Bacteria
Description: partial 16S ribosomal RNA
Rfam family: Bacterial small subunit ribosomal RNA
Source: RNAcentral